RNAcentral lists this ribosomal RNA (460 nucleotides) under uncultured bacterium. Its description in RNAcentral is "partial 16S ribosomal RNA". It matches the Rfam family "Bacterial small subunit ribosomal RNA", at positions 338 to 795 of the family's 1533-position model. The record is from RNAcentral.
CCUACGGGCGGCAGCAGUGAGGAAUAUUGGUCAAUGGCCGCGAGCCUGAACCAGCCAAGUAGCGUGAAGGAUGACUCCCCUACGGGGUUUAAACUUCUUUUAUAAAGGGAUAUAGUGAGGCACGUUUGCCUUUUUGUAUGUACUUUAUAAAUAAGGAUCGGCUAACUCGGUGCCAGCGGCCGCGGUAAUACGGAGGUUCCGAGCGUUAUCCGGUUUUAUUGGGUUUAAGGGGAGCGUAGGUGGAUUGUUAAGUCAGUUGUGAAAGUUUGCGGCUCAAGCGUAAAAGUGCAGUUGAAACUGGCAGUCUUGAGUACAGUAGAGGUGGGCGGAAUUCGUGGUGUAGCGGUGAAAUGCUUAGAUAUCACGAAGAACUCCGAUUGCGAAGGCAGCUCACUGGACUGCAACUGACACUGAGGCUCGAAAGUGUGGGUAUCAAACAGGAUUAGAUACCCGAGUAGUC